GACAAACUUAAUGAUGUUUUUCAUAUAAUAGCAGGGAUAUGGCCUGCGAGUUUCUACCAGUUUACCGUAAAUGAACUGACUAUGAAAAGCUUGUAUGGGUGA
Molecule: non-coding RNA, 102 nt
Filed under: Virgibacillus sp. SK37
Lineage: Bacteria; Bacillati; Bacillota; Bacilli; Caryophanales; Bacillaceae
Also listed under: 1 other name
Description: Purine riboswitch aptamer
Rfam family: Purine riboswitch aptamer
About the family: Riboswitches are metabolite binding domains within certain messenger RNAs that serve as precision sensors for their corresponding targets.
Source: Rfam by way of RNAcentral